AAACCAAUCCAGCUUGCUGGGUCUUGGGCCUCUCGCCUCUGGGCGGGCCUCAAAAUCAGUGGCGGUGCUGUCUAGCUCUAAGCGUAGUAAUACUUCUCGCUAUAGACACUAGGCGGUUACUUGCCAAUAACCCCUAAUAUUUCAAA
RNAcentral lists this unclassified non-coding RNA (146 nucleotides) under uncultured Rhizoscyphus. RNAcentral describes it as "sequence contains ITS2". The record is from RNAcentral. Lineage: Eukaryota; Fungi; Ascomycota; Leotiomycetes; Helotiales; Helotiaceae.